RNAcentral lists this transfer RNA (69 nucleotides) under Rattus norvegicus (Norway rat). It matches the Rfam family "tRNA". From Rfam's summary of the family: Transfer RNA (tRNA) molecules are approximately 80 nucleotides in length. Their secondary structure includes four short double-helical elements and three loops (D, anti-codon, and T loops). The record is from Rfam by way of RNAcentral. Lineage: Eukaryota; Metazoa; Chordata; Mammalia; Rodentia; Muridae.
GGUGAUUUAGCUAAGUGGUAGAGCGCUUGCCUAGCAAGCACAAGGCCCUGGGUUCGGUCCCCAGCACCA